Non-coding RNA from Pelobates cultripes (western spadefoot toad), 528 nucleotides. NCBI's taxonomy places the organism in Eukaryota, Metazoa, Chordata, Amphibia, Anura, Pelobatidae. The record is from the annotation of a GenBank genome assembly.
AUCUUGUGUGUCAUAAGAAUUGAUUGUACCAGGUAACCGAGUUUCGGUUGGUGCUGGUUGUACAGUAACGUGAGGCCCAGCCUUGUGAGGGCUGUGGUGACCAACUCGAGAUUGCCAGUCUGUCAUAAAAAUUUUUGGCUCAUGAGUUUAUGAGUGAGGCUAGCAUAGCCUGGGUGUCACCUGAGUUGAUGUAGCUGGGCCUUCCCCUGCCUCCGUGUUGUCCGUUGAUGUAUGGAGGAGUUUGAAUAACUCUGCUUUCCUUGCUGUAGCAGGGUAGGGUAUUUGUCACCUCCUUAGGUCGGUGGUAAUGGGUGGGAUCGUCCAGGAUCUGAUUGCUGCAGGACUAGCAACAUGUCCUCUGCUUGAAGGUGUAUCAAUUCUAGACGGGGUGCUAGGAAGAGGUGAUUCUUCACCAUCUUUUGGAAAAAUACUUAAAUAACAAUAAAGAUGCAAUUAUUUGUACCCAGGGUUCUUGUACUGGCUUGCUAGCUAAGCCGUAAGGCGAAACGAUUAGGCUUGGUGUUUUUU